AUGAAACCUUCAAGGAGUAGGAGGAAAUUGUGGCCUGAAAUGGAGCUUAGGUACACUCAACAACUAUGGAUCCAUGGAGCUAGCCUGGGGCCAGCAAAAUUCAAUAGCCCAGAAAUGCACACAAUCCUGCAGCAGAUUUCUGUAAUCCCCCAGCUAAGGCAGAAUGUGAUUGCAACACCCCUCAUGCACAGCAUGAUACAACCAUGGACCAGAACCCUGAUUUUGCUGCUCAAAUGAUGGGGAAUAUGUUGAUUUUCAUGAGGACUGCCCUGCUUAGCCCCAGCUGAAGGAGCAGCUCAGCCUGCAGCUCCCUGUCUUUCCACAGCAGAGGCAGAACCAGGAGUCCUUCUCCAUCCUCACCAAUCCCUGCAUCUUGCAGGUCUUACUGAAGAUGCAGCAGGGUGGGCAGACUCUGGAGAGAGCAAGGCACCUUUGCACCUUGGCACCAGCCUUAGCUCCUUUGGGAGGUCAUAGAUCCUAGCACUACGGACAGACAGCAACUCUGGAACUACAACUGAGGCUCCACCUCCUCACCAGCCAUGCCAGCCACAUGUCCUCCCACAGGAACUCCCACUACUAAUAGCAGUUCAUGA
Dipodomys ordii (Ord's kangaroo rat) is the source of this 593-nucleotide RNA transcript. It is a transcript of the gene named ubiquilin-4 pseudogene, with no coding region annotated. The record is from RefSeq and is a predicted model, not a curated record. The transcript is spliced from 2 exons. NCBI's taxonomy places the organism in Eukaryota, Metazoa, Chordata, Mammalia, Rodentia, Heteromyidae.